Molecule: ribosomal RNA, 434 nt
Filed under: Corynebacterium matruchotii
Lineage: Bacteria; Bacillati; Actinomycetota; Actinomycetes; Mycobacteriales; Corynebacteriaceae
Description: bacterial SSU rRNA
Rfam family: Bacterial small subunit ribosomal RNA
Source: RNAcentral
GACGAACGCUGGCGGCGUGCUUAACACAUGCAAGUCGAACGGAAAGGCCCCCACCUUGGUGGGGGUGCUCGAGUGGCGAACGGGUGAGUAACACGUGGGUGAUCUGCCCUGUACUUCGGGAUAAGCUUGGGAAACUGGGUCUAAUACCGGAUAGGACCAUGGUUUAGUGUCUCAUGGUGGAAAAAUUAUUGUUUUGGUGCAGGAUGAGCUCGCGGCCUAUCAGCUUGUUGGUGGGGUAAUGGCCUACCAAGGCGUCGACGGGUAGCCGGCCUGAGAGGGUGGACGGCCACAUUGGGACUGAGAUACGGCCCAGACUCCUACGGGAGGCAGCAGUGGGGAAUAUUGCACAAUGGGCGCAAGCCUGAUGCAGCGACGCCGCGUGGGGGAUGACGGCCUUCGGGUUGUAAACUCCUUUCGUUAGGGACGAAGCCAUA